ACCGUGGUAAUUCUAGAGCUAAUACAUGCUAAAAAUCCCGACUUCGGAAGGGAUGUAUUUAUUAGAUAAAAAACCGAUGCCCUUCGGGGCUCCUUGGUGAUUCAUAAUAACUUAACGAAUCGCAUGGCCUUGCGCCGGCGAUGGUUCAUUCAAAUUUCUGCCCUAUCAACUUUCGAUGGUAGGAUAGUGGCCUACCAUGGUCUCAACGGGUAACGGGGAAUUAGGGUUCGAUUCCGGAGAGGGAGCCUGAGAAACGGCUACCACAUCCAAGGAAGGCAGCAGGCGCGCAAAUUACCCAAUCCCGAUUCGGGGAGGUAGUGACAAUAAAUACUGAUACAGGGCUCUUUUGGGUCUUGUAAUUGGAAUGAGUACAAUCUAAAUCCCUUAACGAGGAACAAUUGGAGGGCAAGUCUGGUGCCAGCAGCCGCGGUAAUUCCAGCUCCAAUAGCGUACAUUAAAGUUGUUGCCGUUAAAAAGCUCGUAGUUGAACCUUGGGUCUGGUCGAUCUGUCCUCCUAAUCGAGCGCACGGAUUCGAUCGGGCCUUUCCUUCUGGGGAGCCCGAUGCCCUUCACUGGGCGUCGUGGGGAACCAGGACUUUUACCUUGAAAAAAUUAGAGUGUUCAAAGCAGGCCUUUGCUCGAAUACAUUAGCAUGGAAUAAUAGAAUAGGACAGAGGUUCUAUUUUGUUGGUUUCUAGGACCGCUGUAAUGAUUAAUAGGGAUAGUCGGGGGCGUCCGUAUUCAAUUGUCUGAGGUGAAAUUCUUGGAUUUAUUGAAGACGAACUACUGCGAAAGCAUUCGCCAAGGAUGUUUUCAUUAAUCAGUGAACGAAAGUUAGGGGAUCGAAGACGAUCAGAUACCGUCGUAGUCUUAACCAUAAACUAUGCCGACUAGAGAUUGGAUGGUGUUAUUCUAUUGACCCAUUCAGCAUCUUGUGAGAAAUCAAAGUGUGGUUCUGGGGGGAGUAUGGUCGCAAGGCUGAAACUUAAAGAAAUUGACGGAAAGGCACCACAAGGCGGGAGCCUGCGGCUUAAUUUGACUCAACACGGGGAAACUCACCAGGUCCAGACACGCGAAGGAUUGACAGAUUGAGAGCUCUUUCUUGAUUGUAUGGUUGGUGGUGCAUGGCCGUUCUUAGUUGGUGGAGUGAUUUGUCUGCUUAAUU
RNAcentral lists this ribosomal RNA (1165 nucleotides) under uncultured fungal contaminant. RNAcentral describes it as "SSU rRNA". It matches the Rfam family "Eukaryotic small subunit ribosomal RNA", at positions 146 to 1324 of the family's 1831-position model. Lineage: Eukaryota; Fungi. The record is from RNAcentral.